RNAcentral lists this long non-coding RNA (268 nucleotides) under Homo sapiens (human). RNAcentral's name for it is "HSALNT0042646". The record is from RNAcentral. Lineage: Eukaryota; Metazoa; Chordata; Mammalia; Primates; Hominidae.
AAGAGAAAUCAUAGCAUAUCACAAUAAAAUAUCAUCCAAUCACAAAAGAAGACAGUUAAGAGAGAAAAAGACAGAAAAAAAGAAUUACAAAACAGAAAAAUUUAACAAAAAGGCAAUAGAAAAGUCAACAAAACUAAGAAUUGGUUUUUUCGAAAGAUAAAAUAGACAAAUCCUUAGCAAGCAUAACUAAGAAAAAAGAUAGAGGACUCAAAUAUGUAAAACCAGAAAUGAAAGAGGAGAAUUUACAACUGAUUUUAUGGGAAUAAGA